GGGGGCCCGCACAAGCGGUGGAGCAUGUGGUUUAAUUCGACGCAACGCGCAGAACCUUACCAGCCCUUGACAUGUCCAGGACCGGUCGCAGAGACGUGACCUUCUCUUCGGAGCCUGGAACACAGGUGCUGCAUGGCUGUCGUCAGCUCGUGUCGUGAGAUGUUGGGUUAAGUCCCGCAACGAGCGCAACCCCCGUCCUUAGUUGCUACCAUUUAGUUGAGCACUCUAAGGAGACUGCCGGUGAUAAGCCGCGAGGAAGGUGGGGAUGACGUCAAGUCCUCAUGGCCCUUACGGGCUGGGCUACACACGUGCUACAAUGGCGGUGACAGUGGGAUGCGAAGACGCAAGUCCUAGCAAAUCUCAAAAAGCCGUCUCAGUUCGGAUUGGGCUCUGCAACUCGAGCCCAUGAAGUUGGAAUCGCUAGUAAUCGUGGAUCAGCACGCCACGGUGAAUACGUUCCCGGGCCUUGUACACACCGCCCGUCACACCAUGGGAGUUGGCUUUACCUGAAGACGGUGCGCUAACCAGCAAUGGAGGCAGCCGGCCACGGUAGGGUCAGCGACUGGGGUGAAGU
RNAcentral lists this ribosomal RNA (574 nucleotides) under Bradyrhizobium sp. Its description in RNAcentral is "bacterial SSU rRNA". It matches the Rfam family "Bacterial small subunit ribosomal RNA", at positions 915 to 1486 of the family's 1533-position model. The record is from RNAcentral. Lineage: Bacteria; Pseudomonadati; Pseudomonadota; Alphaproteobacteria; Hyphomicrobiales; Nitrobacteraceae.